Molecule: non-coding RNA, 119 nt
Organism: Gossypium raimondii (Peruvian cotton)
Lineage: Eukaryota; Viridiplantae; Streptophyta; Magnoliopsida; Malvales; Malvaceae
Source: Rfam
UAGUGCGAUCAUACAAGCACUAAUGCACCGGAUCCCAUUAGAACUCCGCAGUCAAGCGUACCUGGACGAGAGUACUAUUAGGCUAGGUAACCUCCUGGGUGGUCCUCGUAUUACACCCC